Molecule: ribosomal RNA, 300 nt
Filed under: uncultured Kyrpidia sp.
Lineage: Bacteria; Bacillati; Bacillota; Bacilli; Caryophanales; Alicyclobacillaceae
Description: partial 16S ribosomal RNA
Rfam family: Bacterial small subunit ribosomal RNA (bases 51-300)
Source: RNAcentral
GGUGCGCGGGGCAAGAGGCGGGGGUAAUACGUGGGGAGGGGUGGUUGGCCGGAAUUAGUGGGCUGAAGGUGCUGGGAGGUGGUGUGUGGCGUCGUCUGGGAAAUUCCGGGGCGUAACGCCGGGCGUGCAGGCGAUACGGGCAGAACUUGAGUACUGUAGGGGAGACUGGAAUUCCUGGUGUAGCGGUGAAAUGCGCAGAUAUCAGGAGGAACACCGGUGGCGAAGGCGGGUCUCUGGGCAGUAACUGACGCUGAGGAGCGAAAGCAUGGGGAGCGAACAGGAUUAGAUACCCGUGUAGUC